RNAcentral lists this ribosomal RNA (578 nucleotides) under Camptorhinus sp. ARC2070. Its description in RNAcentral is "SSU rRNA". It matches the Rfam family "Eukaryotic small subunit ribosomal RNA", at positions 23 to 577 of the family's 1831-position model. Lineage: Eukaryota; Metazoa; Arthropoda; Insecta; Coleoptera; Curculionidae. The record is from RNAcentral.
GUCAUAUGCUUGUCUCAAAGAUUAAGCCAUGCAUGUCUCAGUACGAGCCAAAUUAAGGUGAAACCGCGAAAGGCUCAUUAAAUCAGUUAUGGUUCCUUAGAUCGUACCCACACUUACUCGGAUAACUGUGGUAAUUCUAGAGCUAAUACGUGCAAACAGAGCUCCGACCGGAGACGGAAGGAGUGCUUUUAUUAGAUCAAAACCGAUCGGUGGCGGGUUCACGCUCGUCAUCGCGCAACUUGGUGACUCUGAAUAACUUUACGCUGAUCGCACGGUCAUCGCACCGGCGACGCAUCUUUCAAAUGUCUGCCUUAUCAACUGUCGAUGGUAGGUUCUGCGCCUACCAUGGUCGUAACGGGUAACGGGGAAUCAGGGUUCGAUUCCGGAGAGGGAGCCUGAGAAACGGCUACCACAUCCAAGGAAGGCAGCAGGCGCGCAAAUUACCCACUCCCGGCACGGGGAGGUAGUGACGAAAAAUAACGAUACGGGACUCAUCCGAGGCCCCGUAAUCGGAAUGAGUACACUCUAAACCCUUUAACGAGGAUCAAUUGGAGGGCAAGUCUGGUGCCAGCAGCCGC